ACUGGACUUUUAUUUAAAAAGAAAUGAAACCCAAAAACAAACACAAAAAAACACGGCCCAAACAUAACUACUGACCCCAGUAUACAAAAAAAAAACAAAAAAAUCAAAUAAAACAUUAAAAGUAAGCCUAGUCCAAUUAGAUAUGAACUGUCCCCUGCUCCUGGUUCUCGAUUCUUCAUUUCCCUUACGGUCAGUUCCAAUUCCAAAAGAGCAUAGCCUCUUCCAUUAUGAAUCUUUCUGUCGUCGAUGUCCUCUUCCUCAAUUCAAGACCUAUUUAAGAAAUUCGUCUCAGUCCAGCUCUCUGGCCUUUUGUUUUCCAGUUCCCAUCGAUCGCACAACAUAUUCAAGCACAAUCCCCUAUAGUGCAUCGCCCUCAAUUACUAAUAUCGCCAAUCCCAUGCUUUCCUCCAAUUGCACCGCUUGAGAACAUGCAAGAGCCUCAACUGCAAAUGAAGAUGCUACAUCCUUAUGAAAGACAAAUUUUGAGGCUAGUACCUUUCCUCUAUCAUUUCUGACUACCAUCCCUGAUCUCGAUCUAAACUGUUGGGGGUCGUAAGCCGCGUCAAAAUUAAUCUUGAUGGUCGUAUUGAGCACCUCCUAAAAGCCUAGGACACUCACAAAACACAUGAUCAAGACUCUCUACAUCCCCAACAUCUGGACACAAUGUAUUUGCCACUAGUCUUUUAUAAUAUAGGUUAGUUAGAGUAGGCAAAAAGUGCCAAAAAGUGCCAUGAAAUUUUCCAGAUUGUAAUUUUUUGUUUAGCAAAUAGGUUUAAAUUUUAAAGUUUCUUGUAAAAAUUUUUGGAAUCAUUCUAUAAAUCAAUAGCAUUAGGAUCUGUAUUUCUUGCUAGUAGCAUUUUAUAUCCACUUCACACCGAGAAUUCCCCAGAAGGCUCUUUCUCCAUAACAGCAUAUCAUCAUGCCCCUCAUUAGCUAAUAGGAUUUGAAGGAUUCUAGCCACAUCAACGUCCGAAAAGUUAUCUUUAAUGACCUCCACUUUCCAUACUCUAGAAGUAUUUUCUAUUAGAUCAGAGACCAAUGUUAUAUCAGCAUUAUUGAACUACUACUAACUUUGUAGUUAGCUACCCCUGGCAACCAUGCAUCCUCGACUACUAAAAUUCUAUCACCAGUACCAACCCUUCAACAUAGUUCGUUUUGUAAAAGGCCUUCGCUGGCCACACGCUCUUCCAUGUAUAAAAAGAUAGAUUCGCUAAUUUGGAUUUUAAAAAAUUACAACUCCAAUAAUAUUUUGCUUUUAAAAUACAUGCUAACAAAUAACUCGGAUAAGUAAUAAGAUGCCAUCCCUAUUUUUCUAACAAAGCCAAAUUGAAUCUUGUUAAACUUCUAAAACCCAAGCCAUCGCUUUAUUUUAACUUGCAUUACCGGUUACAUUCGCACCAAUGUAUACCCUUCUUACCAUGUUCUUUUUGCCACCAAAAACUUGCCCUUAUGCUUUCCAAGUCUCCACAGAGUGACCUAGGGAGCAAAAAGUAUGCCAUAGAAUACGUCGAAAUGGCUUGUCAAACAAAAUUAAUGAAAACCUCCUUCCCUCCUUGAGAUAAAAAUCUCAUACUAUAAAUUCUUUUCUUGAUCCGGUCAUUUAAAAUCUGAAACGACAUAUUCUUUCGCCUCCUCACUAUGUUUGGUAGCCCUAAAUACCUCUUUGGAUCAUUCGAAUACCUAACCCCCCAAUAUUCUAGAUACCAAUUGCCUAUCUCCUUCAGAAGUAUUCGAACUAUAAAAAAUAGUGUAUUUAUCAUAGUUAAUGCAUUGUCCCGAACAAACCUCGUAUUCCCUUAAAAUUUGUUUCAAUGUUUGAACCCCUUAACAGUUGCUUCUCCAAAUAGCACACUAUUGUUCGCAACUAACAAAUACGAUAUCUGAGGACCCCUUCUACUAACCUUGGCCCCUUUUAUCAAACCGUCUUUCAAAGCUAAUCUCAUAAGAGCCGAUAACCCUUCUCUACAAAUCAGAAAAAGAAACAGACUCAGAGGAUCCCUUUACUGAAGACCUUUACUAGGUUUGAAUACUUCCCCAAAUUUCCCAUUCAUGAUCAUCGAAUAUGAGAUAGAAGAUAUACAACACAUAAUAGUUUCCACCCCUGGCCUAGCAAACCCCAUUCGUUCCAUUUCACCCUUAAAAAUUCUCAUUCUACCCGAUCAUAUGUUUUGCUCAUAUCUAGUUUCAGUACCAUAAACCUUUUUUUCCUUAUUCUCUUUUGUUGAAAAGUAUGAAAAAUCUCAUAGGCCAAUAGCACAUUAUCAAAUAUCAAUCGCCCCAGCACAAAGGCACUUUGGGCACUGUCAAUAUAAUCCUCCAAAACUUUUUCAAAAUGAUUAGCUACCAUUUUCACUGUCGGUUUAUAAAGAAUAGUGCAUAACCUAAUUAGCCUAAAAUUUGCUAAAUUCAUCGAAUGGGGAAUUUUAAGGAUUAGCAAAAUAUUGGUAAUAUUCAAGGGAUCUAACGCCAUACCUUCAUUCAAGACUCCCAAGCAAUAGGAAGUAAUAUUUUUCCCUACGAUGUGCUAGCAAUUUUUAAAGAAUAAAGCCAAAAAAUCGUCUUCGCUUGAUACCUUUCUUGGCCCCAUCUCUUUCAACGCCAAAAAGACCUUUUCCCCUGUAAACUUUUCUGUCAGCAUCAUAUCAACAUCAUUCAAAAUGCAUCUCUCAUUCCCCGUCAGAAUAUGAUCGAUAUCUCCCAUCCCAAUUGUCGAGAAUAGAUUUUGAAAAUAGCUUUGAGAGAUCUUUUCCAUUUCAUCCUAGUCUAUCGCCACCCUCCCAUCCUCAUAUUGUAAACAUCUAAUUUUAUUCAUUCUUCUGGGCAGGGAAGCAUAGUUGUGGAAAAAAUAGUGUUUUUAUUCCCCCCGACAUCAACCAAUUCGCCAUGCAUCCCAGAAAUAUACCUCGAAUCCCCUUCUAGGUUUAACCCUAAAAUAGGAUCCCAUCUCAUCCCUGACUCUUUCCUUACCUCUUAUCAAGAUCCCUUCCCCAUAUCUGAAUGUCCUAAGUUACUCCCGCUCAUCUCACCUUCUCAUUCCUCUCACCAUCACACACUACUUAUCGUAGAAGCUCCUAGAUUGCGCCUUUAAAGACAUCCCAUCCCAUCUUUGUAAUAUCCAAGCCUUUGAUCAUUCUAACUUGAUAGAAAAAAUCAUUAUGUCCUAAAAACCAAAAAAAAAAAAAAAAAAAAGAAUAACAAUGUCAAUCUCUCAUACUUAAACUUGACAUAAGUACAUUUUCCAGACGAAAAUAUUAUCUUCUUCUUUCGCUUCAAAGGUCACCUAACAUCCAUCUAGACCCGUAUAUUUAAGAAAUUUCUCAUUCUCAUACUCAAACUCUUGAAGUCAUAUUCUAGGAACUAGCCAAUUAAAUCACCUAAUUACUUUGCGAUAGACUCAGAGAAUAACCCUGGAGGUAACUCAUGUAUUUGCACCCAGAAAGUUGAAAGAACUAGCAAAAUUUUCAUCAGAUCCUCGCCAUCCUUCAAACGAUGAAACACCAAAAAUGAUUAUUAAAAGUCCAAGGUGCCCCAUUUACAACCCAUUCAAUAUCUAUUUUAUGAAAAAAAUCUAAAUAGAAAUAUUUUUCCCCUUAGAUCUGAUAUCUGAACCACUCUUAAAGGAUGCCAUAGAUUCGUCAUAGUACUCAUCAUUGCCAUAAACUAGACUAUACUUGACGUGAGAAAAACAACCAACCAAACAAAAAUCAUUCACCACAUUUUGUGAAUCAGAUUCAUUCUAUAUCAAUAGAACCUCCUCAUCACCAUCCUCCAAAGAUAAAUCUGCCAAAUCAUUCUCCGUCACCAAAAAACAACACCCAGCCCGGUUGACCACCACCCCAAAAAACCCACUAACCUAUUGCCACCGCCAAAAUAAAAAAACCUAAAAAAAACCAAAAACAUGCUAGAGUAGCAAAUAGAGACGUGCCAAAGUAGCAGACUUUUUCACCCGUAUUAAUUAAGACAAAAAAAGUUUUUUUAAACAGUUUCGAUGAGAGAAAAGAGUAUUUAGGGGAUGUCGCAAGUUUAUCGUGAAAGAGAAGGAAAACGGAGAAGAGAGGAAGAGAAAAAAUAGUUGAAAGUGGAGAAAAAAAAGGUAAAAUUUUAUUGAAGUCAAUUCUAUUUUGAUUCUUUAGUUUUUUUUUCUUUAGCCCAUAAUGCCACAUGGAUUCUAUUUGUUGAUCCAUGUGUCAAAAACCCAGAGAAAUUACACCAUGUUUGAUUGGGUAUAAUCCCAUAGCUAUUACUUAUCUAUUCGAUGAUCGAUGAGCUCAAGUUAUUAACUUGUUUGGUUGGGGGUAAUAGCCAUUCUAUGACAUGGGCUAAGAAUAGGGAUUCCAAUUCAGAUGAAAGGAAAAUAAAAUUAGGGAUAGACCAAAAUAUCCCCUCUUCAUCUCGUUCCCUCUCUCGUUUUCCCAAAAUUAAAACUUGCGUUUGAAAUCAGAAACUUACAAAGGCUCCGUUCGCUAGCUUCCACUUGUUCAUCUUGAUUGAAAGUUAUGUCAAACUUUUCACGAUCAACUACAACUUCUUACCAAAAUUCUCAAGGAACCAACAGGAAAUGGGUUCCAGAAGAUGUUGCGUAUGUUGCCUAUAUGGUCAACUUUCACAAUGUUGGAACUUUUAACGCAGAUACAGGAUUAAAGGUUGGUUAUUUAAAUGACUUGAAAACAAUGUUAGAAAAAAUUUUACCUCAUGUUAUGCUGAAGGCUAGAGCUAAUCUUGAAUUGAGGAUUAGGAGAUUGAAAAAAGAACAGGCAAUCAUUUACGACAUGCUCAGAGGAAAAGACAAUAACAGCUUUGGUUGGUAGAGCAUAUGCAGAUGGUUGUUGUUGAAGAUGCGAUGUGGAACUCAUAUAAAAGUAGUCAUAAAGAAGCUGGUCAAUUCAGACAUCGCAAUUUCUCUUAUUAUGACCAACUUACUUCUAUAUACGCAACUGUAACACCUUAUACUCGACCCAAUCACUGAGUCCAGACUACAAGGGUAGAUAAUGAAAUGGGAAAUCAAGUGAAAGGACCAAGCCAGUCUUCGCCAAUGCUAAGAGAUGGUUAUGAUAGAUGAUUCACAUAUAUAGAGGGGCACCCUUAGAGACCACACCUCAGGGUCUAAUAUGAUUGUGUCUGUAACUGAUCAUUAAAUUAAAAAUUGUAAAUAAUUGUCAUGUUUAUUUAAGGGAUCUAAGCUGUAAGAAUUUAUUUUUCGUAUGGAAUGAGUCCUAGCGGUAGAUGGUUUUUGGAGAAGUUGGACUAUUUAAGUACGUAGCAAAGUUAGCUAGAAUUUUGUUAAGAUAUUCAGGUUGUUGUUACAUUCAGUACACGGACCUAGUGAUCGGGUCGGGAAUAGGGUGUUACACUGUUGGCCUUGAAUUAAGUAGGAGCAUUGCCUCCGAAGAGCUAAUUCAAGAGAAGUUAGAAAUGCUCAUUCAAGAAAAUGCCCAAAAAUUAUAUCUGGCCUUAGAUGAAAUACAAGGAUUAAUUAAGGAUGAGCGUUUUUUUGCGUUGAGUAAAAUUCCAAACUAUUCAACGCAAAUGGUUGUUUUCUUAAGUAUACCUUCUUCUGUGUGAUGAGUAUGGGUGAAAUGAUUUAUUUCUACCCAUUAAAAAUCAUGGUUGUAUUGGUGAUGUUUUGGUAAAUUUUUGU
Long non-coding RNA from Gossypium raimondii (Peruvian cotton), 5638 nucleotides. RefSeq lists it as uncharacterized. The record is from RefSeq and is a predicted model, not a curated record. Lineage: Eukaryota; Viridiplantae; Streptophyta; Magnoliopsida; Malvales; Malvaceae. The transcript has 6 exons.